RNAcentral lists this ribosomal RNA (481 nucleotides) under Pantoea stewartii. RNAcentral describes it as "bacterial SSU rRNA". It matches the Rfam family "Bacterial small subunit ribosomal RNA", at positions 35 to 505 of the family's 1533-position model. Lineage: Bacteria; Pseudomonadati; Pseudomonadota; Gammaproteobacteria; Enterobacterales; Erwiniaceae. The record is from RNAcentral.
GGGCUGGCGGCAGCUACACAUGCAAGUCGGACGGUAGCACAGAGAGAGCUUGCUCCUCGGGUGACGAGUGGCGGACGGGUGAGUAAUGUCUGGGAAACUGCCCGAUGGAGGGGGAUAACUACUGGAAACGGUAGCUAAUACCGCAUAACGUCGCAAGACCAAAGUGGGGGACCUUCGGGCCUCACACCAUCGGAUGUGCCCAGAUGGGAUUAGCUUGUAGGCGGGGUAACGGCCCACCUAGGCGACGAUCCCUAGCUGGUCUGAGAGGAUGACCAGCCACACUGGAACUGAGACACGGUCCAGACUCCUACGGGAGGCAGCAGUGGGGAAUAUUGCACAAUGGGCGCAAGCCUGAUGCAGCCAUGCCGCGUGUAUGAAGAAGGCCUUCGGGUUGUAAAGUACUUUCAGCGGGGAGGAAGGUGUUGAGGUUAACAACCUCCACAAAUCACAAAACCCGCCUACCAACCUCCCGCUCUCUUCU